RNAcentral lists this unclassified non-coding RNA (744 nucleotides) under Hevea brasiliensis (rubber tree). The record is from RNAcentral. Lineage: Eukaryota; Viridiplantae; Streptophyta; Magnoliopsida; Malpighiales; Euphorbiaceae.
AACCAAAAUGGCUUAGGCCAUUUUAGUGAUGGGAGUCCAGCUUCCAGCCCAAUUGAGUAUGGAGCUCUGCUUGUUUAUUAAUCCACACUCCUAGGCCUGUGAUUCUCAACAUGGGUGGUGUGACUGCACAGCCGUGGAUCCAAGAGGUCACACAGCCGUGGAUCCAAGACCAAAAGUAUGGUGGACUGCGCAAAAAGGUGCCUGACCUGUGAGCUGAGCAGCCAAGAUGGGCAAGCAUCAGUGGAUCCAUGGCUAGUCAAGGGUAGCUAUACCUUAAGGGCAUAGCCAAAAAGGAGUCAAACCCAAGUUAAAUGGGCCACCCUGUGCAAUGCAAGUGACAACUGGGCCUGUGACCUUGAGCCCAAUUGCACUCGAGGGGGAGUAUUAGAAUAUUGAAGGUGGGAACAAAAUCCCACAUCAGCGGUGCAUGAGAAUUAUAAAGGGCAUAUAAGUGCUGGCAAAUCACAGCAAAUUUUGGUGAUAGGAGUCUAACUUCAAGCCCAGUUCAGAAUGGAGGUCUGACUAUUUAUUGAUCUAAAAUCCUAAGCCCGUGAUUCUCAAUGCAUCUUAUAUAGGGAAAUACCUAAUCACAACCAAAAAUGUCUUUAUCGCACAAACCAAAACUUGAAAAUCAACCUAUUAAUCUUUACUCUCUUAUAGGAUGUCAAUAACAUAAAAGCGCAAAAACAUUAUCAGCCAUCAGUAAACAAUUUUAACCUACUUGAAGCUGCCCAGUUGAUAGGA